GCGUGCGAGUCUCCGGGUGGGCAACCCGUGGGCGCAAUGAAAGUGAAGGCGGGCUCCGGCCCGCUUGUGGCGAGAGCCCUCGACCCCAUCGGGGGCGCAUCGUCGACCGAUCCCAACGUCACGCUGUGGCGGGAUUUGAGUGAGAGCGUGCCUGUUGCGACCCGAAAGAUGGUGAACUAUGCCUGAAUAGGGUGAAGCCAGAAGAAAUUCUGGUGGAAGCUCGCAGCGAUUCUGACGUGCAAAUCGAUCGUCAAAUUUGGGUAUAGGGGCGAAAGACUAAUCGAACCAUCUAGUAGCUGGUUCCCUCCGAAGUUUCCCUCAGGAUAGCUGGAGCCCGGUGCAGUUUUAUCAGGUAAAGCGAAUGAUUAGAGGUCUUGGGGCUGAAACAGCUUCAACCUAUUCUCAAACUUUAAAUGGGUAAGAAGCCCGGCUUGCUUGGCUGAAGUCGGGCGCAGAAUGCCGGGGCUCCCAGUGGGCCAUUUUUGGUAAGCAGAACUGGCGAUGUGGGAUGAACCAAAUGUCGGGUUAAGGUGCCUGAAUCGACGCUCAUCAGAUCCCAUGAAAGGU
This 567-nucleotide ribosomal RNA is filed under the name Clathria kylista. Its description in RNAcentral is "eukaryotic LSU rRNA". It matches the Rfam family "Eukaryotic large subunit ribosomal RNA", at positions 682 to 1222 of the family's 3401-position model. Lineage: Eukaryota; Metazoa; Porifera; Demospongiae; Poecilosclerida; Microcionidae. The record is from RNAcentral.